Molecule: ribosomal RNA, 370 nt
Filed under: uncultured Pseudomonas sp.
Lineage: Bacteria; Pseudomonadati; Pseudomonadota; Gammaproteobacteria; Pseudomonadales; Pseudomonadaceae
Description: bacterial SSU rRNA
Rfam family: Bacterial small subunit ribosomal RNA
Source: RNAcentral
ACAUCUCUUCGGAGCAUUUUACGAGGUGCUGCAUGGUUGUCGUCAGCUCGUGCCGUGAGGUGUCGGGUUAAGUCCCAUAACGAGCGCAACCCCUAUCAUUAGUUGCCAUCAGGUCAAGCUGGGGACUCUAAUGAAACUGCCUACGCAAGUAGUGAGGAAGGUGGGGAUGACGUCAAGUCAUCAUGGCCCUUACGGCCUGGGCUACACACGUGCUACAAUGGUCGGUACAAAGGGUUGCCAAGCCGCGAGGUGGAGCUAAUCCCAUAAAACCGAUCGUAGUCCGGAUCGCAGUCUGCAACUCGACUGCGUGAAGUCGGAAUCGCUAGUAAUCGUGAAUCAGAAUGUCACGGUGAAUACGUUCCCGGGCCUU